GGAGAUUGUGAAGCCACCCUGCAAGACGAGCCCUGCCUGCCAUGCUUGCACUCAGCACUGAGAUUCUGCAGGACUCACAAGUUGUAAAUAUGUGUAUUAAGAUGUGAAUAACCACCUUCAGUGCAACUUGAAACACCACCAAGAGCUGGGAAUGGAGAGACAAGAAUAGGUCAAAGAGCAGCUUUAAUUCUG
Long non-coding RNA from Cygnus olor (mute swan), 192 nucleotides. RefSeq lists it as uncharacterized. Lineage: Eukaryota; Metazoa; Chordata; Aves; Anseriformes; Anatidae. The transcript has 3 exons. The record is from RefSeq and is a predicted model, not a curated record.